CUACUCAGGCACACCCAGAAGUGUGCUCGACCCAUCACCUAGACUGCUUCCAAGGUAAUUUGACAAAAGGAAACUUCACCUCCAUACCAUGAGGACACAAAAUAUGGAGAAAUGAUCUUCGGGCACUGUUACUUCUGCCAAUUAUUUGUAUGGAAACAUUACUGGAAAGUUGGAAGGCAGCUUGGGCUGGAAGCCAUUCUAUGUGUGAAGUGGUCCCAACUCUUGGAUCCCCCUGAGCAAAUUUCUGGGGAGGUCCACAAACAGGACUUGGAGGCCAAGAAUAAUGCUUUGAAGCACUGUCUGGCUGAGCUGCAUCCCCGGCACCUAUAAGGUUGUACAUCAGGCCAAAAGCCAACUCCACACUGAGAGAAAAUUUCAGGGAAAUACAUAUUCAGAAGGUCCUGUGAAAUUCCAUGUCUACUGAAUCAAGACGUCACCCAAAAUGUGAUGUUAUGAGUGUUAGUACCUACUACCUGUCAAAUAAUGCACUGGAAAAGUAGGAUCCCAGGAGAGUACUUAAUAUAAUGUACAUACACAAAUGUUCUUUUCUCAAAGAUGGAAUACAUCUGUGAAUUUGUGGUUAAUGAUCCUUUCUAAGUCCACUUUUGAUAUUUCACCUCCAAAAACAUAGAUCCAUUUAUUUAAUAAUCAGUUCCUUGCAUAUAUUUAUGAUGAUUUUAUUUUGAGAUUUUAAGUUCUUUUGAAUAUUGUGCAUUUAGAUAUAUGGCUGAGUUAUUUAUUCUGGUCCAUUUUUAAGUGUUCAGUCAGUUGAUACAAAGUAACUUAUCCUUAGAAUUAUUGUAGCUUCAUAAUAUUUUAACCAAUAACAAACCCAUCGAGAUGUGGUUUCAUCCUCACAUCUCCUUUUUAGUGGAAACACCUUUUUAAAUUUUUUGAAAUUACAAACUUUUUAUCAAGUUCUCCAAAUUAAAUGCAUUUUUACUGUGAUUGUAAUAUAGUGUAUAAAUAUUUUCUUUAUUUUAAAUAUUUUAGUUAAGUGAUAUCUUUCCAUUAAUUAGGACUACAUUUCCCUUUUAUUUAGGCUUAUUAAGGUAUUACAUAUUACAAAAGCCUCUAUUUCUGAGUAUAUGGAUAAGUGAGAAUGAGAAAAUAGACACAGGCAUUUAACAUGACCAUUAGUAAGAUAUGGAAUAUUGCC
This 1159-nucleotide long non-coding RNA is filed under the name Chinchilla lanigera (long-tailed chinchilla). RNAcentral describes it as "lncRNA (ENSCLAG00000024260.1)". The record is from RNAcentral. Lineage: Eukaryota; Metazoa; Chordata; Mammalia; Rodentia; Chinchillidae.